Mus musculus (house mouse) is the source of this 2638-nucleotide long non-coding RNA. RefSeq annotates it as predicted gene, 39822. The transcript is spliced from 3 exons. The record is from RefSeq and is a predicted model, not a curated record. NCBI's taxonomy places the organism in Eukaryota, Metazoa, Chordata, Mammalia, Rodentia, Muridae.
GUUAACCUUGGCUUCAUAGCAGUUUCAAGGCUAGCCUGAGCUGCGUAAGAUCGUGCCUGAACACAGCAGAAGAAAGAAAGAAAGAAAGAAAGAAAGAAAGAAAGAAAGAAAGAAAGAAAGAAAGAAAGAAAGAAGAAACAGGCCUCCCUGCUGGGGGACAAGGGUGGGUGCCGCCUCAGUGGGAGGAAAGGCAGAGCGGAUGGGCACAGAUGCCGGUGGGUGGGGAGCCGCAGAGCCAGCACAACGUCUGUGCCAAGGGCUUCUAUUUUCUUAGCAAAAUCGGAAGAGGUUGUCAGCUGAGAGUGAGGUGGAGGAGGAGGUGUGAAGCAGUCGUCUAGGAGAGCGGGUGUGAAUAGACUUGAGGGAUGGAGCACAGCGGCCGGGCAGUCGUGGUCCUUGGAGUGGGACUGGGGGCUGAGCCUGCAGCUCAAGGGCAUGGAGGAGCGAGCAUGCCGAGGUUUGGAGUCCUCUAGCUCCACAAAAUAGAAAUCAGCAGUUCAGCUCGCAGGUCAGCAACAGCAGCCCGAUCCAGUCACCAACACUUCACGGAUACACCAGCAGUUCACCAACACUUCAUGGAUACCCGAGCAGGUCAGUUCAAUAGUGCCUGGAUAGGGGCAGCAGUGGCACGACCUAGCAGGAACAGUCAAUCAGGCCUUGGCCCAAACAGCACGAGUCAACAGGGAGGAUUUGGAUCACCAGGAACUCCAGGAAAAGUUCUCAGCUGUGCCUCUCUCAGCGAAGAUGCAAGACCAACAAGCAUUGCACAGCUUGCUCUAUAAGCAAGCCUAGCCUGAUCUCUGUCACCAUCCGUGGAGUCCUUUUUACACUCCCUCCAAACAUAAAGUGUCCUCCUCGGGUCUUGCCUCAGCAUGUGAGUCUGUCUUGGCUGACAUCCCUCUGCCAAUCGGCCCAAAUCUGCAGAAGCAGCAAGAAGCCACAGCACACCACCAGAAGUGUUUUGGUGCGUUUCUCCCUAUGGAGUCCUGACAAAUGCAGCUCAACUACGCAGUGGCCUUGUGCUCCUCCCUGAAGUUUCUGAACCUUGGAUGGUGGCGUUUGAUACCCAUGACCCAGUGCAGCCGAGCUCUCCAUGUUACUUAUUCUUUAACCAUUUUUGAGCCUUUGCAUUAACCCAGUGCUGGACCCUGCAUGCUACAAUGCUGAGCGGCUGGCAAGCUGUGCUCACCGGUGCAAUCAUGGUGUGAUGGUUUUGGAGAGCCGUGAGAAGCUGACUUCUGGCACAUGUGGCUGCUGCAUGUGUCAGGGCACAGCAGCUGAGAUUACCUGACCAAGAUCAAGCCAGUCCCAGUCCCAGGGUGGGGGAGCAGAAGAGAGGCCCCAUCUGUACUGGAAGAACUAUCCACAGUUGAUGGCUGCCAAAGAAGGAAGAGUUCCCCUCCAGUGGGGACAUAGUUGAGAGUAGCCUGUGUGUGAUGCCUCCGUGGAUGGCCAUAUACCCAUGUAUAUAUAGGCAGCACUAACUGGAUUCAUCAGGUUAAUAAUAGCAAUAAAAGGGAAAGGACACGGAGUUGGGAAGGAGAUGAGUGGGAGCUAGAAGAGGUAGUGGUGGAUGGAUACAACCAGUACCCACUAUACUGUGUGACUGUAUGAUGCUUUUAAAGAACAGGAAAUACUUAGCUGGGUAAGGUGGUACACACUUUUCUUUGAUCCCAGCAUUCAGGAGUCAGAGGCAAGAGUAUCUCUGUGAGUCCAGGCCAGAGAAGGCUACAUAGUGGGACUCUGUUUAAAAAAUAAUUUAAGAGGGCUGCAGAGAUAGCUCAGAUGUUGUGAGCACUUGCUGUUCUGGCAGAGGACCUGAGUUUGGGUCCCAGCAUCCAUGUUUGUGCCUCUUACAGUGCAUCCAGCUCCAGGGGAUGCUGUACCCUCCGGGCCUCUGUGGGUGCCUGCAUACACAUGUGCACACACACACAUAUACAUAAGUAAAGUAUAUAAAUUUACAAACAGGAUUUAAUGUUGAGAUCACAGUGCUUUCUAAGUCGAUUCAUGGGUUCAUUGCAAUCGUAUCAAGUUUCAACGUCUCAUGCUUUUUAUUUCAAAACUGACUCAAAGCUCCAGCAACCAGGCCCAUGCAGUCCUGGGCACAAGGCUUAGACACAAAGAUCAAUGAAAUAAGAGGCUCCAGAAAGGAUCCCCAGUCAGCUUCUUGCAAUGUUGGAUCAGAGUUCUCUAGAGAAACAGAACUGAUAGUCUAAGUCAAAGGCAUGGUCAGGUGUCGCUUCAACCCUUCCCUGGGGGAGCAGAGACCAAGGUGCACCCCUCCUCCUCAGGUCCCAAUGAGAGGGGGGCACAUAGGUUCAUAUGUUUGAAUACUUGAUCCUCAUUUGCAGAACUGUUUGGGGAAGGUUAGGAGGUGUGGCCUUGUUAGAGGAGGUGUGUCACAGGGUGGGGUAAGGGUACUUUGAGAUUUCAAAAGUCUAUUAUAACUAUUCCCAGUUAUCUGGCCCCUGCCUUUCUCUCUAUCUGCAACUUUUGGAUUGGAUGUGAGCUCCAAGCUACGGCUCCAGCAGGGUGCCUGCCCUCCUGUGGUCACGAUCCUCCCCCAACCCCCAUGAUGGUCACAGACUUACCCACCCUCUGAGACUCUAUGUCCCCAAUAAACUCUUCUAAAAGUUGA